GAUGAAGAACGUAGCGAAAUGCGAUAAGUAGUGUGAAUUGCAGAAUUCAGUGAAUCAUCGAAUCUUUGAACGCACAUUGCGCCCCUUGGUAUCCCGAGGGGCAUGCCUGUUCGAGCGUCAUUUCACCACUCAAGCCUGGCUUGGUGUUGGGCGACGUCCUCUUUGGGGACGCGCCUCGAAACGCUCGGCGGCGUGGCACCGGCUUUAAGCGUAGCAGAAUCUUUCGCUUUGGAAGUCGGGGCCCCGUCUGCCGGAAGACCUGCUCGCAAGGUUGACCUCGGAUCAGGCAGGGAUACCCGCUGAACUUAAGCAUAUCAUAAGCGGAGA
RNAcentral lists this unclassified non-coding RNA (327 nucleotides) under soil metagenome. RNAcentral's name for it is "partial contains 5.8S ribosomal RNA, internal transcribed spacer 2, and large subunit ribosomal RNA". The stretch from base 1 to 120 matches the Rfam family "5.8S ribosomal RNA", at positions 35 to 154 of the family's 154-position model. The record is from RNAcentral.